Molecule: long non-coding RNA, 1496 nt
Organism: Megalobrama amblycephala (Wuchang bream)
Lineage: Eukaryota; Metazoa; Chordata; Actinopteri; Cypriniformes; Xenocyprididae
Exons: 6
Source: RefSeq, a predicted model, not a curated record
AUAUUAUGAUUUUUAAAAUUCCAGCCAACAGGAUUUUUUCAUAUCAUUGAAGCGGUGUAUUUGCUGACAGGAAGGGACGGACGAAAAGGCCCGGGCUGUAUUUACACAGAGGGAAUGUGAGAUUAAAUUAUGAAUAAUGUGUGAGAGAGAAAGCGAGGUAGGUAAAGGCGAACGCGGGAGGGCGGCAACAGAUUCCCCGAGGACUUUCCGCUGGGUUUAACCCACUGAGGCGGAACUGAACGGACAGCUCCGGUUAAAUAAGAACAAAUUUACUUUUCCUUCUUUCUCUGGGGAUGGAUCCAACCACAAUAGCUGAUAUCUUUGUUUGCUCGCUGCAGUCGGACACACAAAAUGACGUAGCCUACACCCAAUAAACACCCGCUGGUUUAGACCAGUUUCAACCGGCUUAAAUUCCAAUAUGAACUGCACUUUCUAAUGUAAAUAUGUUUAUAAUUCGUUCUAGAGACUGAAUCUAACCUCCGUUUUACUUUGGUAUUCCUCCAGUGCAUGAGAGCAGUCUGUUUGUUUACCGCCGGUCAUUACAGCAUCUCGUCUCUCCGCUGAUAUCCCCCGCUGAGGCCUGGAGGAAAAACACUUAUCUACGGAGGGAAAUGUCAACCUGUGUCGGAGCAGCCGCAGAGAAUAUACAGGCUUUAAGGGCCACAAAGCACAGCGGUGACAGGCUAAUCAGGAAAUGAUCAGGAUGUUUUGAAGAACAUUUUGAAGCAGAACUCUUGUAAGUUUUCUGAGCGAUGAAACGGCAACCUCUGAACAUUAAAAUCAGCCUCUAGAUAAUACAAGAAUUUCAAUGAAUAUUUAGAGAGAGAAUGCCAGACAAGUGACCGGAAAAGAAGACCUCGCCGGUCAACAUCUGACGAAUUUCCUCAUUUUCAGGUUCCAUUUCCAUACUAUCCUUGAGAACUGUCAGCUUUAAUGGUAAUUAGUGGUAUUUUCUAAGUCCUGUGAAGCGCAGCGAGGCUCUGAAAUAGCCUCAACUGAUGCAGAUUGCUGUUUGUAGCUGCAGCCCUGAAAAGCACUUAAAAGUCUGAUGAAGACACUGCAGUAGCAUUUCAUUUAGCAUUGCUGGAGUGUGAGACGCCUAGUGCUGAAGGCUGAGAGAUGUGAAACCCAAUCAGUAGAGGGAGGACAUUCAAGACAGGCUGGUCAAAUCAUAGCUGUUUGAAAUGGAAUCCUGGUGUAUUUUUAUGGCUUACUGUGCAAAUGCAUACUGACAAUAUCUGAGUUCUGUGGCUUUUAGUUUUUGUCUCUCUGCUCUGAAGCCGUCUAUAAGCUAAUAUACUGUACAUAUAGACCUUGACAGUCACCGUGAUUUUGCCAAGUAAGACAUGUUCCUGGAUCAACAUCUUUGUUGAUCCUGGAACAACAUUCCAAUCAACCAAUCAGAUUUGAGGGAAAAGUUUACCGUUUAUUCCAAGUUUAGGCUUGCAACCAGGGUUAGGUGCUUCUACACCAAUGUUAUUCACCUAUCUUUCCCC